CCCACCUCACCCUCGCAGCAACCCCCUUCUACACCCGCCUCCACGGAACCCUGAUCCUGGCUCCCCUUCUCUCCGACCCCAGGGGCUCCUGGGAUCGCGCUCCUCCUUCUCCCCAGCCCUCACCAUCCGGCAGCCUCUUCUGCCUCUGUUCCGCCGCCCUCUGGCUUCACUAUGGAACCCCCUGCGGCCCCUGGCCCCCUAUCUCUCCCCUCUGGGGCCCCUCUAUCCCUCCUCGGCUCCCCAGUCGACACCUUCGCCCCGCCCUGCAGUUCUCUCCACUUCUCACAUUUCUCCUCCUGCCCCCUCUCUCUACCCUCCUCUGUCCCAUGACUAUGAAUUUCACAGAGAAGCCUGUUUAUUUAGGUGACACCAAGUGGGAGACACACGAAACCGUUUCCCUAGCAUGGUUUGCCAAGUGGUGCAUAGGUCCCUACCCAGGAUCCGAACUGGCGAACCCGGGCCCGCAGAAGCAGAACGUGCGAACUUAACCACUACGCCAUCAGUUGGCCCCAGCAGUUGUGUCUUAACAAGCCCUCCUGGUGAUUUCUGAUAUGCCCUAGGCUGAAAACCACUGCCCGAGAUGUUCCGUGACAUAUUAGCUCCCUUCUUCAUAGGGUGAAUGGCUUCUGAGACCCCAAACCGGAACAGACCAUGUGUCUGAAUGCAGAAGCUGAGCCCCAGAGCCCAGGGCCCCAGGAGCCUGAGAGAAAGUGCCCUAAGGAGACCCCUGCCAGGUGAGGCCUAUCUCUGAGGGCUCUGUCCUUGCCUGGCGGCCCUCAAAACCUGGCUAACUGCUCACAGGCAAGUUGUGCCCUGGGUUUCCCCCACCAACUCCACACUUCACCCUGGGGGGAAGGGAAGGGUCACCAAAGUCCCUAACCCCUCCUUCAGGUGGGGGGCCUGUGCUCUCCCACCUCUGUCUCUUCAGCCUCCCCCUCCUCCUUGCUGAUCUCACCUGAGUCUCCCCUCCCCCGACAGGCAGGCGGGGAGCAAAGGAAGAGGAGAAGGCAGGACAGAUCUCCAGCUCCCUAUCUUCUGUGGGACCCUUUGACCCCUCAGCUGUCACAACUGACCUUUUCCAACUUCUCCUACCAGAGGCCCCACCCCCCACCAUGAAGCCCCUUUCCAGCCUGGAAUGUGAACUCCCCUUUCCGUGCCCCAAAUGUGGGAAGCGCUUCAGCCAGGGGGCCCAGCCUGACCCUGUACCUACACUCCCACACAGGUGACAGGCCCUGCUCCUGCAGCCGGUGUGGCCACAGCUCCUACCUGCCCCAGCCCCCGACACACAUGCCCACCAGUGUAGCAAGGGCUUCUCCCCAGAGCUCUGGCCGGCUGCAGCACACCACUGUUCACACAGGCACAUGGCCCUACGUCUGUGUCACCUGUGGAUGGGGUUCAGGAGCCACCCAGCCUCGUCUAUCGUGAGAAGACUCACUUAGUGAGCACAGCUUCCCCUGCCCCGAGUGUGGCAAGCACUUCACCCAGAGUGUCCGCUGAGCCCAGCACCUACGGACGGAUGCUCACAGGGGAGAAGCCCUACCUGUGCGGCUAGUGUGGCCAUGGCUUCAGCCAGCACCCCUGGCUCGUGGCCCACCAGUGGGUCCACCACUUGGUUCCUCUGCUGUCCCUGCCGGCCCACACCUGCUAGGUGUGCUCUUCCCUCGGGUGCGGGCAGUAGCCUGCUGCCACACAGUGCAGCACAUGAGAAGCCCUUCUUCUGCCCCCAGUAUCCCGAGGGCUCUGGCUACUCCAACCUGCAACACCACCAGCAGGACCACGGGGGGAGCGGCCCCACCACUGUGACCAGUGCAGCAAGGGCUUCAGACAGAGCUCAGGGCUGUGUGGCACCAGGGAGUCCACAGGGGCAAGACUGCGAGUGCAGUUUCCGGUCCAGCUCCGGCCUGGCGCAGCACCUGCAGGGCCGCUCUGGGGACAGGCCCUUCUGCUCUGGCGGCUGUGGCUUCACUCAGAGUCCCCAUCGACCUUGACAACAGGCCAGGGCUGGUGAGGAGCACAGGGAUGAACAUGGAGGGGGGGGACAUCUGGAGGCCAAGUCAAGGCCCCUGUGGGGAGCCAGCCCCCCAACUCCACAGCACUCUAGGAGGGUAGAGGGGCAGUUGGAAUGACUGCCUCUUCUGUGGGAGGCAUAAUGGAGCACAGCUUCCACCACACCCCAGCCAGAGCAACUUUCAGAGCAACCACAUUGGGUGGCCAGAGUGUCUCUGCUGGACCUACUCAAAGCUGGAAUGGCCAGGUCCACCUCACUUCUAGUCCAACGUGCCAGUUCCCCAGAGAGCUCCCGGCCUGGGAAAGAGCUCUCCCUGUUUCUUAGAAAGGACUCUGUACUUCUGAUCUUCUGUCCUCCGUCUGAGACAUUUAACCAGGAUGUCUGGGUCCUGCUGCCUCAUGGAUGGAUCCGAUUCCCUGGGAUUUUUUUGAAGGGAUCAUUUCAAAGAGAUAACUGAAUCCCCAUAGAUCUCCAUGACAACGCCCACCAUCAAAUCCUAGUCCCCCACUAACCCCUCCAACCCUCUCAUUUCCCCCGAGGCUUCUGGAUGCUUCUUGCCUCUGGUGCUAAAGCUACACCCAGCACACCUGUCUGAUGCUGCCAUCUCCCUAUGCCUACUCCUGGCCUUGCUAGGCCCUGUUUCAGGACCCCAGGGCUUCCUAAAACCUUCAUUGCACUUCAGUCUAGGAAUAAAGCCCAGAUGGAGGCUGCUCUUUCCAGCUGUACAGAGGCCUCCUAUUGAAAGGUGCAAAAGGGCAGAGGCAGGUGUCCAAGGAGAGGGCAGGGAUGUGGAGGAGAUGGAGACCGGAGGAAAAGCCAAAGGAGUUUGGAGGAGAAAGUGGGAGGUUCUGGAAUGUGGAGAAAAGACAGCAGGGCUGUGUGAGACAAGACCCACAAGAAACAUCUCAGAAAAACUUAGAAACAAAUGUCUUCAGGUACGAACAUCCCCGGGGAACCACUCAUUUCUUCUUCAGUUGACAAGUUUCCCCCAGUGUUGUGAAGGCACUGAGUUGCCAACACAAGCACUUCAUGUCCUGCCAUUUGCACUUUUUCCACAAAAUUGCUUGCUAACUGUCUUCUUCGUGUGUUGGCAAACUGAUUUUGAACAAAGAGUCAGGAGGGAGUCCCACAGCAGAGUCCCUUCCAGACUGGUGCCCCUGGCCCAGCCUGGCACUGAGGAGAGCGCUGUCAUCAUUCACCCUUUUAGAAGGUUCUGCUGGGGGAGUCACUCCCUGGCAACACUCACAGCAAGUUUAUGGUUACUGUUCAUGUUAAAGGAUAAGGUAGACCUCAGCUCUUGUAUUAACUUCCCCCAAAGUAUACUCUUUAGAACUGGGCAGAGUCCUCCCUAGGAGGUAUCAGAGGCUGAUUACUGACACACACACGAAGGAAUUAAAGAACUGGAGGGAUAAAAGGGUCACUGAGAGACUGCUAAUCAGUUUCACCCUUUCAGGAAAUAUGUAUUGAGUCCACCACGUGUCAGGGACUGUUCUGGGACCUGGGUAUUACAAACAGGCAUAUGAUGCAGCCCCCGCCUUCCACCGAUUUGAUCUAGGCGUGUUCAGCAUCUCAAUAUUGAACCCAGCAUCUAGUCCUAUCAAUUGUAUCCACUAUACUCUCUCAAGUAUGUCGUCUCUUUCCCACCCCUCCACCUCCCUUGUCCAGCUACCACCUGGACCAUCUGGUUCUCCUCUGAAUCAUCGUGAUGGCUGGAGAGGCUGGGAAUGGCGUUCUCUGUGAGCAGCACACCUGAGUAACAGAGGCCUCUUUGAAAUGUAAAUCUGAUUGUUUCAGGCACCCUGCUGAAGCCCAUUCAAUGGUUUCCCAUUGAUCUCAGGUUAAAGACCCCAGUCCUUAACCUGGCCUUUAAAGCUCUGCGAGGUGUGGCCGUGUCGGCCUCUCCAGCCUCAUCUCCCACCACUCACUCCUCUCUCCCUCGCGCAGAGCGCUCCACUUCCUGUCGGUGUCCCGCUUCCUCCCGCAGAGAGCGGCGGCCAGGCUGGGCCCUCCUCCUGAGAGGUGCUUUCUUCCAUUUCUCUCUUAGCUCCUCAUUCUUCGGAUCUCAGCUCCUUUACCACAUCCUUAGGGAAGGUACCCUAUCCUUUCCUUCAGGGUCCAAUUCCCUCCUCUGGGCUCCCACACCAAGGUGCACCUUUCUUGGAGGCACUUGGCACAGUUCAGUUCCAUAUUUGUUGGUGAUUAUUUGAUUGAUGUCUGUCUCCCCACAGACUGUAAGCUCCCUGAGGGUGGGCACCACGACUGCAGAGGCUCACUCUUGCUAUUCCCUGGAAACUCCAUAAAUAUUGAAAUAUUGGUUGAAUGGGUGCACAUGCGCCAGGAUCUGCGGCAGAGGCUAGAUAUUUCAGGAUUUCAGAGAGGGUGGAUUGAGGCCGUAAUUUCCCUCCAGCGGCUGCCGCCCAAGAGUCCCAUAUGCCAUUUCCUUAGCACCAUUCCUUUCUCCAUGUUUCCUGGUGUCAUCCAUCUUCCCAGCUCCACCUCUCCGGCACCCUCCUCACCUCCACCUUGCCUAGGAGAACCUUUCUCCCUUUAGUUUUUUAGUGCCCCUUCCUGGUCUUGGCUCCUUGGCUUCAGAAGCCAGCAUGGAAUAAUGAGGCAAUAGCACAGGAUUCAGAAACAAAAUAUCUGGAUUCAAUAACAAGGUUAAAAGUAUUAGCGGUGUGACCUUCAGCAGGCUAUUAAACCACUCGGAACCCUAGCUUACAUAAAAUGGGAACAACUUCGAAAUCAAGCAAGUUGGAGGAAUUAGAAAAUCUAAAAGCACCGUCAUCUAGAAAUACUGGAUAAAAUAUGAAAAAAAUUAAACAUAUGACUGAAUUCUCAAAAGGAAAGUAAAAUUCCAGGUGCCAGAAACAAAGAGGAAACUGAAAGCUGGAGGCUGAGCUGACUGUGGCCACGGUGACCAGAAGGCGGCUGGAGGGAAUGGGUUCUGUUAACUCAGGGCUUGAGUGCUUCCAGCCACCCGGGGACAGGAGACGAGGUCUUGGUCCUGAAGAGGUGGGGAAAUUAGAUGAAAGGAGCCAAAGCUGACUCAAGAAGAAAUUAAAAACCUGAACAGAUCUAUAAAUUCUAAUAAAUUAAAUGAGAAGCUAAAAAUGUACACGCACACAGCACCUAGAUGGUUCCUAGGUAUAUUAUUCUGCCAACUCUUAAAGGAACUAUUUAUUUAUUUAUUUAAACUACACCAGAUAACGGUAAAAGAGGAAAAUCUCACUUAUAAGACUAAAAGUCCUAAAUAAAAUAGUAG
Molecule: long non-coding RNA, 5273 nt
Filed under: Equus caballus (horse)
Lineage: Eukaryota; Metazoa; Chordata; Mammalia; Perissodactyla; Equidae
Description: lncRNA (ENSECAG00000056882.1)
Source: RNAcentral